RNAcentral lists this ribosomal RNA (460 nucleotides) under uncultured bacterium. Its description in RNAcentral is "partial 16S ribosomal RNA". It matches the Rfam family "Bacterial small subunit ribosomal RNA", at positions 338 to 795 of the family's 1533-position model. The record is from RNAcentral.
CCUACGGGAGGCAGCAGUGAGGAAUAUUGGUCAAUGGACGCAAGUCUGAACCAGCCAUGCCGCGUGCAGGAAGACGGCUCUAUGAGUUGUAAACUGCUUUUGUACGAGGGUAAACGCAGAUACGCGUAUCUGUCUGAAAGUAUCGUACGAAUAAGGAUCGGCUAACUCCGUGCCAGCAGCCGCGGUAAUACGGAGGAUUCAAGCGUUAUCCGGAUUUAUUGGGUUUAAAGGGUGCGUAGGCGGUCGGAUAAGUUAGAGGUGAAAUCCCGAGGCUCAACUUCGGAAUUGCCUCUGAUACUGUACGGCUAGAGAGUAGUUGCGGUAGGCGGAAUGUAUGGUGUAGCGGUGAAAUGCUUAGAGAUCAUACAGAACACCGAUUGCGAAGGCAGCUUACCAAGCUACUUCUGACGUUGAGGCACGAAAGCGUGGGGAGCAAACAGGAUUAGAUACCCUUGUAGUC